Molecule: ribosomal RNA, 167 nt
Filed under: uncultured bacterium
Lineage: Bacteria
Description: partial 16S ribosomal RNA
Rfam family: Bacterial small subunit ribosomal RNA
Source: RNAcentral
GGCUGCAUGGGCGCAGCCUGAUGCAGCCAUGCCGCGUGUAUGAAGAAGGCCUUCGGGUUGUAAAGUACUUUCAGCGGGGAGGAAGGGAGUGAAGUUAAUACCUUUGCUCAUUGACGUUACCCGCAGAAGAAGCACCGGCUAACUCCGUGCCAGCAGCCGCGGUAAUU